This 438-nucleotide ribosomal RNA is filed under the name uncultured bacterium. RNAcentral's name for it is "bacterial SSU rRNA". It matches the Rfam family "Bacterial small subunit ribosomal RNA", at positions 28 to 462 of the family's 1533-position model. The record is from RNAcentral.
GAUGAACGCUAGCGGCAGGCCUAAUACAUGCAAGUCGAGGGGUAACAGGAAGUGCUUGCACUUCGCUGACGACCGGCGCACGGGUGAGUAACGCGUAUACAAUCUACCUCAUACUAGAGGAUAGCCCGAAGAAAUUUGGAUUAACACUCUAUAGUAUCAUUUAAAGACAUCUUUUUAUGAUUAAAGGUUACGGUAUGAGAUGAGUAUGCGUUCUAUUAGUUUGUAGGUGAGGUAACGGCUCACCUAGACUGCGAUAGAUAGGGGCCCUGAGAGGGGGACCCCCCACACUGGUACUGAGACACGGACCAGACUCCUACGGGAGGCAGCAGUAAGGAAUAUUGGUCAAUGGACGAAAGUCUGAACCAGCCGUGCCGCGUGCAGGAUGAAUGCCCUAUGGGUUGUAAACUGCUUUUAUAUAGGAAGAAAAACUUUCUCGUG